Molecule: ribosomal RNA, 449 nt
Filed under: uncultured bacterium
Lineage: Bacteria
Description: bacterial SSU rRNA
Rfam family: Bacterial small subunit ribosomal RNA
Source: RNAcentral
UUCCAGACUCCUACGGGAGGCAGCAGUGGGGAAUAUUGGGCAAUGGACGCAAGUUUGACCCAGCAACGCCGCGUGAAGGAAGAAGGCUUUCGGGUUGUAAACUUCUUUUAAGGGGGAAGAGCAGAAGACGGUACCCCUUGAAUAAGCCACGGCUAACUACGUGCCAGCAGCCGCGGUAAUACGUAGGGGGCAAGCGUUAUCCGGAUUUACUGGGUGUAAAGGGAGCGUAGACGGCGAUGCAAGUCAGAAGUGAAAGCCCGCGGCUCAACUGCGGGACUGCUUUUGAAACUGUAUAGCUUGAGUGCAGGAGAGGUAAGCGGAAUUCCUAGUGUAGCGGUGAAAUGCGUAGAUAUUAGGAGGAACACCAGUGGCGAAGGCGGCUUACUGGACUGUAACUGACGUUGAGGCUCGAAAGCGUGGGGAGCAAACAGGAUUAGAUACCCUGGUAC